Epinephelus moara (kelp grouper) is the source of this 1267-nucleotide long non-coding RNA. RefSeq lists it as uncharacterized. NCBI's taxonomy places the organism in Eukaryota, Metazoa, Chordata, Actinopteri, Perciformes, Serranidae. The transcript is spliced from 3 exons. The record is from RefSeq and is a predicted model, not a curated record.
ACAAGCUUUCGGUAUCGGAGCUAUACUGGCAUGGCGCUCCCACUGUCGCUAACUGCACUCCCUGGAGAAAUAUUGGCUGAUUUUUGGAGGAAGGAGGAGAAUAUUUCAGACAGGAGCAGACAGAAGGGGUACAGUACGCAUUUGAAGGAUAUAUUCACGAUGUCAUGCUCACUCGGCAACGAAAUAAUGCUCAAAGCAUAAAGAUAGAAGCCAAAGCUAAGCUUACAAGUCGCAGAGCAAAAGUGAACCACCGCAUCACCUGGUGAUUGAGACGGAGGACAACAACAUUCAGGAGCAACACUGUUCCUCUAAAGCUGGCUCCACAGGUUUCUGCGCCCAUGUCAUCGACUUCAUACAUAGUCUGGGCCUCUGCAAAGCGCAAAACAUCAGCAGUGUGUCAGCCCAGUCCUUUACAAGCUUGCCACAACAGUGGCAUAAGCCAAGGGGAGUAAAAAUCACGCCACAGCCGGUAACAGCUGUUGUGGUGGCAAAAGCAAAGGCUGACCGAAAACGGAAACCCAUCUUUUGUAACUACAGCAAUGACAGCUCCCUCUACUGGACAACACUAGGCCAAUAUCCCCCCCAUCAAACCCUACUGAUGAUUUCCCAGUAUUCCCUUUGCCGCUACAGCCAAGCAAUUUCUCUACAGUCCUAACAAAAGACCAGAUGGAAUGCUACAAUGACGUGAUGAUCUCAAAGUCCGAAUCAGAGGCACUGGAGAAAGAAACCAGACAACAGAGCAGUAACAAUAUCUGGCAUCGUGUCCGCUCUCCUCGUCUUACUUCAUCCUCUUUCAAGAGAGUAUGCUCCAGGAAAGCAGACUUCGAGCAGCUUGCCAUCAGCAUGCUGAUGAAGAAGAAGUCAGUACAAACCAAAGCAAUGAAGAGAGACCUGGAGCUUGAGCCAGUUGCUGCAGCCCAAUACACAGAAGUCAUUGGAAACCAAGUUCAGAUGUGUGGCUUUGUCGUGAAUCCCAACGCCCCCCAUUUAGGUACUUUUCCUGACAGGAAAGUCGUUCAGAGCGGCGGCAACAAAAGCUAUGGACUACUAGAAAUAAAGUGCCCGGACCAACAUAGCUACACAGGUUGUCAAUACCUCCAGAAGCACAGUGGUGACACCUACAGACUCAAACAUAACCAUCAAUUCAAUCAAUCAAUCAAUUUUAUUUAUAAAGCCCAAUAUCACAAAUCACAAUUUGCCUCACAGGGCUUUACAGCAUACGACAUCCCUCUGUCCUUAUGACCCUCGCAGCGGAUAAGGAAAAACU